AUGCAAGUCGAACGCCUGUAGCAAUACAGGAGUGGCAGACGGGUGAGUAACGCGUGGGAACGUGCCCUUUGGUUCGGGAUAACCCAGGGAAACUUGGGCUAAUACCGGAUACGUCCCUAACGGGAGAAAGAUUUAUUGCCGAAGGAUCGGCCCGCGUCCGAUUAGCUAGUUGGUGGGGUAAUGGCUCACCAAGGCGACGAUCGGUAGCUGGUCUGAGAGGAUGAUCAGCCACACUGGGACUGAGACACGGCCCAGACUCCUACGGGAGGCAGCAGUGGGGAAUAUUGGACAAUGGGCGCAAGCCUGUUCCAGCCAUGCCGCGUGGGUGAUGAAGGCCCUAGGGUUGUAAAGCCCUUUCGGCGGGGAAGAUAAUGACGGUACCCGCAGAAGAAGCCCCGGCUAACUUCGUGCCAGCAGCCGCGGUAAUACGAAGGGGGCUAGCGUUGCUCGGAAUCACUGGGCGUAAAGCGCACGUAGGCGGGUCGUUAAGUCGGGGGUGAAAUCCUGGAGCUCAACUCCAGAACUGCCUUCGAUACUGGCGAUCUUGAGUCUGGGAGAGGUGAGUGGAACUCCGAGUGUAGAGGUGAAAUUCGUAGAUAUUCGGAAGAACACCAGUGGCGAAGGCGGCUCACUGGCC
Molecule: ribosomal RNA, 637 nt
Filed under: uncultured soil bacterium
Lineage: Bacteria
Description: bacterial SSU rRNA
Rfam family: Bacterial small subunit ribosomal RNA
Source: RNAcentral